AUGAAGAGUGGCACGCUGGUGGCGAUCCUACUUCUCCAGACCGUCGUGGUCAUGGGGAUCCUCGCACACUCACAGGCCGCGGACGCGGACGACGAUUUCCCCAAGUGCUGCGACCACUGCAACUCCUGGUCGGGGGCCCAAUUCUGCGACGACGUGGGCCCCAGGUGCCGCGACGGCUGCGUCAACUGCCGCGUGGUGCAGACGCGCCCCGUGAAGACGUUCCGUUCCGGUGUGGAGAUGGACGCUCCGCCUUCCCGUACAUUCCCUGCCCGCCGCCGUGCAAAAACAACUGAUCGCUCCACCUCAUCACACGAUAACUUCCCCAAGUGCUGCGACAAGUGCGACUCCUGGUCGGGGUACCAGUUCUGUGACGACGUCGGCCCCAGGUGCCGCCACGGCUGCGCCAACUGCCAGGUGGUGCAGAUGAGGCCCGUGAAGACGUUCCGGUGUGGAGAUGGACGCCCCGUCUUCGACGGGCAGGGCACGCCCCCGCCCUGCCCGCCGCCGUGCAAAAAGCACUGA
RNAcentral lists this ribosomal RNA (522 nucleotides) under Triticum aestivum (bread wheat). RNAcentral describes it as "partial small subunit ribosomal RNA". The record is from RNAcentral. Lineage: Eukaryota; Viridiplantae; Streptophyta; Magnoliopsida; Poales; Poaceae.